Long non-coding RNA from Betta splendens (Siamese fighting fish), 2929 nucleotides. RefSeq lists it as uncharacterized. The transcript has 3 exons. NCBI's taxonomy places the organism in Eukaryota, Metazoa, Chordata, Actinopteri, Anabantiformes, Osphronemidae. The record is from RefSeq and is a predicted model, not a curated record.
UCUGACGGGAAACACACAGACACAGAGAGAGGGAGCAGCACCAACAACGUGGUUAUUAGCGUGGAGGUUCCACUCGCGCCGGACGCACACAAGACAGAGCAAAUGCAACUUGGAUGAAGGGACAGAUUGUAAGAAAAAAAAAAGAAAAGAGGAGCCGUGGGUGAAAGUACGGGAAGGAGCGGCGAGGGGGAUCCGUGUCCAUCUUAUUUGGAUUUUCAGCUGAUCGGUUCUCAGUUUAGUCACUUCAACAGCAACGCAAACGUCAGGGGACAGAAAGGGAGAAUAAUUUCUCUUAUUUCACUCCGCCAGUGAAAGCAGCAGCGAAACGUUCGAGUUUAGACUUUCUUCUAGCGGAAAAGUUUCAAGGUCCGGUUUUUAUUUUCUCCCAGUUUCGGGUCACUAAAUAAUUAGAGUUUUUUACUGAUAACACCCGUUUACGUUUUACGCUCAAGCCUGACUCUGACACUGGGAAAGAAACAGAUUAAUAAAUCAAAUCUAUGACAUUUUUUUAAGUCAAACCCACAACUUAAAGGCGACUCCACCGAGAAUGACACUAAGCCUGGAAUAAGUCCCCACUGCGUUGUCUGAUUAAAAGUCCUAGAACUUUAAUAAACGUUUGGCUUCGCCUGAGAAAACUUCACGUCUAGCUUUGAUAAACUAAAGCCGAAUCCAGUUGUCAACAGUUAAUAAAUAACAGAUUGGAAAUAAUUGUUCAAAUGUGCCAAGUGGCUCCGCGAUCCGGGAAAAAAUCUUUAAGGCACAAACGGCGCAUAAACAAAAGCGAUAAGGCUCAAAUCGCUGGAUGUUCGGUUCGCCAGCCAAUUCAUCAGCGCGGAUAUUGUUAUUAAGAGAAGUGGACAGAGAUUUUUGUUCGUUCUGGUCACUUUGUGCGUUUAGUCGAAUCACCCAACAAGCCUUAAUAUACGCGACGAACGAGACGCGUUAUCGCCUUUUUUCCUCCGAAGGACAGCGGCGUUGUGCCGCGCCAGACGCCCGGAAAAGAGCUCAAUUUCCCAGGCGGUCAGGAACCGACAGGACGCCUCGACGUCGCGGAGGGUCGAGAAGUAAAAGGAGAAAAAAGCACGAAUCAAACGCACCUACUGUGCGUCCACCUGUGCAGAGGAGAAGCCCCCUGAAACGCACGCCACCUAUCUUCACGGGAGGGGAUAAUUGAGGAGCGCCAAACGUGAGCAUCUUCUGGGUUGAACGUGAAGUUUUUUUCCUCCCCUCCCUUCCUUUCUCUCGUUUCUCUCCCCCUUCCUCCACUUCGUUUCUUUCCCUUACUCCCCUCUCUCUUUCUCCAUCUCUUCUCUUUUUUGAGUGAAAGUGUUGGGCUUCGACGCGGAGCAAAGAACGGGCGACAGUGUUUUUUUUUUCCUUGCUCGCGUUCUUCGUGUGAACGCGUGUGUGUGCGCGCUAAAAGAGGGGAAAACUUGGAGCGCGUCCACGCCGGCCACAAUCAUAAACCCCAAAAUAUGACCCGAGUGUGAUUCUGCACCGUUCACCCGGCAGAAACGGAGACGACUGCAGCCUCUACAGGGACAUUCUGCCAAAGCAAGUGAGAAAAUGCCGUCAAAUAAAAUAAAGUGUCUGUAAAGUGUCUGCAGAGAGACGGGGAGACGCGGGCACCGCGAGAGUCCCUGCAGGAAUAUCAUAGGAAUAUUCCAACAUUAUUAAAGUGAUUUGUCCUUCUGGACGCCACUUAACGGGAUGAAUCCCGCAUUUAUUAAACAAGUCAACCAUCUCAGCCAUGUCUGACUUACAGCAGGGAUAGAAAGAGAGCGAGGGGAGUGAGAGAGAGAGAGAGCGCGAGAGAGAGCGAGAGAGAGAGAGAGGAAGCUCCACCUUUGCAGCGUCCUGAUUGGUUAUGUAAAUAAAGUAUUAUUUUGUGCACUGUCGUCCUGCAGCUCGCCACUGUAUGGCUAAUUAAAUCAUCAAUCAAGGGGCUGAACUGGUAGAUGCCCCCACCUCCCGCCCCGGAUAAAUAACCAAAUAAAUAAAAGACGCAGACAAAAAGAAACCAGACUCACGCUUCAAACUCGAAUUUAAAGCCUCUUGUAGAAUUUGUGAAUUUGUGAAGAUAAAUUGUUUUUCUGAUUUAUUAUUUAAAAACAAUAGAAUUAUUUUAAUUGUUAUAUCUUCUUCAACAUUUGUAUCGCUCCAACUUGUGUGCUCGCAGCAUGAGCGCUCCGCCAGCAGCAGCAAUGCCAAAGUGAGAUUUUUGUUUUUAAAUAAUUUUUUCCAUCAUGAAUUGCUAUAAUUUCUUCUUUUUCUCCCCCUUCGACAAAGAACUAGAGGCCAGAAGUGCGUAAGACCAAGCGGGGCGAAGCAGCUUUGGUCCAAAGUGGAUCCAGUCCUGGGUGAAUUAUUGUCAUGCGUAAUUUACUGCCACAGCGCGUGCAUGUAAACGAAUCGGUCCAGCUCCUUCUCUCUCUCCCUCUAAAACACACGCGCGCUCGCUCGCUCGCACACACACACACACACACCCUUGAACCCAUAGCUCUAUCUCCGCGUCCUAUUCAAGCGGCUGAGUGGCACCUCUCGCCUUUUUACGCACGCGGGCUCUCCUACGUGGGGCCGCAUAUUCACCGUGAAAACGGAUUACAGUCGUUGUGUGACCUUUAAGGGGACCCUGUGCUUAAUGAAUAUUUUAAUUAGAAUGAGGGGAGGCGUGGAUUUAUAACAGUUCACUCCUAUUUAUGUUUUGAUCAUUUCAAAGUAAAUGCGCAAAUACUGUUGCGCUGCUGCCAGAGAUUCGCUUCACGUGAUGAGCGGAUUGUUUCCAAUUUAAUUGGAGAAUCGUUAUAAAUGAGGUGAUAUGUCAAAUGAAACAUGCUCACGUGUUUGUUACCAUUUCUAAAUGUUUCAACUGUGCUGCUGAUGUCUCUUUUUUAUUUCUCUCAAUAAAAACCUGAAGCUUUUCCCAGCA